This 195-nucleotide non-coding RNA is filed under the name unclassified sequences. RNAcentral's name for it is "manA RNA". It matches the Rfam family "manA RNA". Rfam says of the family: manA RNA has been located in 5'UTR regions of genes of mannose or fructose metabolism. Has been proposed as a cis-regulatory element and as a riboswitch candidate for his complex secondary structure. The record is from RNAcentral.
CGACGGUCACCUUGCAGGGAGUGACUGAAUAAUCUUUCUGGCAUAUAGCUGGAUAAGGUGAUGAGAUACAGGUGGUGCUGCUGUGGUUUUCCACAGAACCGACAAACCAGUCGGAUCUCAGGCAAGGAUGUAAAAUUUACUACUGUAGUAAUGCCCGUCCUUUGUUGGUAAUACAGAAACCCAACCUCCCACUUU